CCUACCUGGUUGAUCCUGCCAGUAGUCAUAUGCUUGUCUCAAAGAUUAAGCCAUGCAUGUCUCAGUACAGGGCGAUAUAACGCCGAAACCGCGAAUGGCUCAUUAAAUCAGUUGUGGUUCCCAAGAGCCUACUCUUAUCCUACUUGGAUAACUGUGGUAAUUCCAGAGCUAAUACAUGCGAGCAAAGCUCCGACCCUGCUUGUUCGGGGGAAGAGCGCUUUUAUUAGACCGAAAACCAUGCGGGCUCCGGUCCGUCCUAACCCCUGGUGGUGAAUCUGGAUAACUUUGAGCUGAGCGCACGGUCUCUGCACCGGCGCCGCACCUUUCGAGUGUCUGCCUUAUCAGCUGUCGACUGUACGCUAUGCGCUUACAGUGGCUGUAACGGGUAACGGGGAAUCAGGGUUCGAUUCCGGAGAGGGAGCCUGAGAGACGGCUACCACAUCUAAGGAAGGCAGCAGGCACGCAAAUUACCCAAUCCCAGCACGGGGAGGUAGUGACGAAAAAUAACGAUGCAAGACUCAUCCGAGGCCUUGCAAUUGGAAUGAGCACACUUUAAGUCCUUUAGCGAGGAUCCACUGGAGGGCAAGUCUGGUGCCAGCAGCCGCGGUAAUUCCAGCUCCAGUAGCGUAUAUUAAAGUUGCUGCGGUUAAAAAGCUCGUAGUUGAAUUUGUGCAGGGGGCCGACGGCGCACCCUCAGUGGUGCUUGCCGUCGACAUGGCCUCUGAAAGGACCGCCGGGCCUGAGCGGACAUUGCCUUUUACGGGCUGUGCUGUUUGGGUCCGGCAGUGAUCACCUUGAAAAAAUCGGAGUGCUCAGAGCAGGCCUGUUGGUCUGUACGGUGGUGCAUGGAAUGACGGAAGAGGGCCCCGCCCCCGCCUGUUUCGUUGGUUUUCGGGGGGUGGGGCAAUGAUGGAUGGGACCUGCCGGGGGCAUUGGUAUUGCGGGGUUAGAGGUGAAAUUCUUGGAUCCCCGCAAGACCAACAGAGGCGAAAGCAUCUGCCAAGGAUGUCUUCGUCAAUCAAGAACGAAAGUUGGAGGAUCGAAGGCGAUCAGAUACCGCUCUAGUUCCAACCGUAAACGAUGCUGACCCGCGAUCCGCCGGAGUUAUUACCAUGACUCGGCGGGCAGCCCCCGGGAAACCGGAGUCUCUGAGUUCCGGGGGAAGUAUGGUUGCAAAGCUGAAACUUAAAGGAAUUGACGGAAGGGCACCACCAGGAGUGGAGCCUGCGGCUUAAUUUGACUCAACACGGGAAACCUCACCAGGCCCUGACACUAGAAGGAUUGACAGAUUGAGAGCUCUUUCUCGAUUCAGUGGGUGGUGGUGCAUGGCCGUUCUUAGUUGGUGGAGUGAUUUGUCUGGUUAAUUCCGAUAACGAACGAGACUCCCACCUGCUAAAUAGUCGGCAGAUCCUCAAACGAAAGAAGGGCUUGUUCCCUCCUGUGGGUGGCUGGUUCAGUCCUGUGGCUUCUUGGGUGUUUGCAGUGUGGCCGGCAGGUGCCUCGCGUACCUGUUGGCGCCUGCUUCCCUGGGUUGCUUGCAGUCUGUUCCUGGUUUAACUUGCAGGUUUAAAAAGGGCUUGCUCCCGAGUCUGUCGCAUCUUCUUAGAGGGAUAAGUGGCAUAUAGCCGCACGAGAUGGAGCAAUAACAGGUCUGUGAUGCCCUUAGAUGUCCUGGGCCGCACGCGCGCUACACUGAAGGGGACAGCGUGUGCACCCUCUCCGAGAGGAGCGGGGGAACCCGUUUGAAACCCCUUCGUGAUAGGGACCGGGGCUUGCAAUUGUUCCCCGCCAACGAGGAAUUCCCAGUAAGCGCAGGUCACUAGCCUGCGCUGAUUUAAGUCCCUGCCCUUUGUACACACCGCCCGUCGCUACUACCGAUUGAGUGAUUUAGUGAGGAUUUCGGACUGGCGCCCUUGGUCCGUGCAACGGGCUUGCCUGCCUUGUGUGGGCACCCGGGACCUCGGGUCGACGGAAAGAUCUCCGAACUUGAUCACUUAGAGGAAGUAAAAGUCGUAACAAGGUUUCCGUAGGUGAACCUGCGGAAGGAUCAUUA
RNAcentral lists this ribosomal RNA (2053 nucleotides) under Ingolfiella tabularis. RNAcentral's name for it is "SSU rRNA". It matches the Rfam family "Eukaryotic small subunit ribosomal RNA". Lineage: Eukaryota; Metazoa; Arthropoda; Malacostraca; Ingolfiellida; Ingolfiellidae. The record is from RNAcentral.